GUUGGCCUCGGAUCAGGUGGGGAUACCCGCUGAACUUAAGCAUAUCAAUAAGCGGAGGAAAAGAAACCAACAGGGAUUGCCUCAGUAACGGCGAGUGAAGCGGCAACAGCUCAAAUUUGAAAUCUGGCUCACGCCCGAGUUGUAAUUUGUAGAGGAUGUUUCGGGUGAAGCCGCGGUCCAAGUCCCUUGGAACAGGACGUCAUAGAGGGUGAGAACCCCGUACCUGGCCGCCGGUGCCCCCCGCUGUGAAACUCCUUCGACGAGUCGAGUUGUUUGGGAAUGCAGCUCUAAAUUGGUGGUAAAUUCCAUCUAAAGCUAAAUACCGGCCAGAGACCGAUAGCGCACAAGUAGAGUGAUCGAAAGAUGAAAAGCACUUUGAAAAGAGAGUUAAAAAGUACGUGAAAUUGUUGAAAGGGAAGCGCUUGCGGCCAGACUUGCCUGCAGUUGCUCAUCCCGCCUUUUGGCGGGUGCACUCUUCUGCAGUCAGGCCAGCAUCGGUUUGGGCGGUCGGAUAAAGGCGUUGGGAACGUAGCCUCCCCUCGGGGAGGUGUUAUAGCCCGGCGCGCAAUGCGACCAGCCCGGACCGAGGUUCGCGCUUUGCUAGGAUGCUGGCGUAAUGGCCGUAAGCGGCCCGUCUUGAAACACGGACCAAGGAGUCUAACAUCUAUGCGAGUGUUUGGGUGUCAAACCCGUGCGCGUAAUGAAAGUGAACGGAGGUGGGAACCGCAAGGUGCACCAUCGACCGAUCCUGAUGUCUUCGGAAGGAUUUGAGUAAGAGCAUAGCUGUUGGGACCCGAAAGAUGGUGAACUAUGCGUGAAUAGGGUGAAGCCAGAGGAAACUCUGGUGGAGGCUCGCAGCGGUUCUGACGUGCAAAUCGAUCGUCAAAUUUGCGUAUAGGGGCGAAAGACUAAUCGAA
This 917-nucleotide ribosomal RNA is filed under the name Venturia sp. CBS 681.74. RNAcentral's name for it is "eukaryotic LSU rRNA". It matches the Rfam family "Eukaryotic large subunit ribosomal RNA", at positions 1 to 939 of the family's 3401-position model. The record is from RNAcentral. Lineage: Eukaryota; Fungi; Ascomycota; Dothideomycetes; Venturiales; Venturiaceae.